AGUGAACGCUGGCGGUAGGCCUAACACAUGCAAGUCGAACGGCAGCACAGUAAGAGCUUGCUCUUACGGGUGGCGAGUGGCGGACGGGUGAGGAAUACAUCGGAAUCUACUUUUUCGUGGGGGAUAACGUAGGGAAACUUACGCUAAUACCGCAUACGACCUACGGGUGAAAGCAGGGGAUCUUCGGACCUUGCGCGAUUGAAUGAGCCGAUGUCGGAUUAGCUAGUUGGCGGGGUAAAGGCCCACCAAGGCGACGAUCCGUAGCUGGUCUGAGAGGAUGAUCGCCCGCACGGGAACUGGAACACGGUCCCGGCGCCUGCGAGAGGCAGCAGUCGGGAAUGUGAGGCAAUGGGCGGGAGCAUGAUCCAGCGGUACCGCGUGGGAGGAGGAGACCCUGGGGUUGUAAAGCCCUUUUGUUGGGAAAAAAAAGCAGCAGGUUGAGACGCCGCUGUUGUGACGGUACCCGAAGAAUAAGCACCGGCUAACUUCGUG
This 492-nucleotide ribosomal RNA is filed under the name uncultured bacterium. Its description in RNAcentral is "partial 16S ribosomal RNA". It matches the Rfam family "Bacterial small subunit ribosomal RNA", at positions 30 to 507 of the family's 1533-position model. The record is from RNAcentral.